UGAACCUUUACAAGAUGGGAGGCCCCAGCCAUUAUCAAUAUUCUUCAGAGAUUGUCUGCCUGGCGUCAGUGGUCACAUAACCAGGACUUGUGAUAUGAACCCAGCUGCUUACACAACCACUCACUACCUGCUCCCAUGCCUUCAUGUGAUCAUGAUUGUGGGGUUUAAGCAGGAGCUACACCUGGCCAAAGAGUGACCUGAAGACAAUUGGAGGGAAGGAGUAUCUUACACUCCUUUUGGUAGGGACAUAUCUCCACCCACAACCCAAUGCUGUGGCAUUAAAAUUAGUUGAACAGUCUGCACCAUCAGAUAACUUUGAAUUCUUUCUCUUGAAUGUCUUGUCAAUGACAUCUUCCAGCCUAGUCCCUCUCCCUACAUGAGAAUAGAUGCGACACAUUCCCAGAGACAAAUUAUUUUUGUUGUUAGAAAUGAAAACCUGAUGCUUAGUCUUAAAUAUUAACUCUGCUGCUCUUCCCACGGGUGCAGACUGACCCAUUGAGCAUUUUUGUUGUCACUCAACCCUUGUUGAAUAUGCCUGCUGGUAAUUUUGGAUGUGUGUCACCAACCUGAAGGAUUUCAGAGCUGAAAGGGUACUUUUGACUCCAACAGCUCCCCACAGAAAAUGAAUAUCAGUGUGGCAUAGGGUGACAUCUACGUACUUUGAUAACAAAUUUACUUUGAACAGAGAAUGUGGAGGUUGCCCCCCAAAAAUCUGAAGGGGAUGCAACAGGACCUUCCUCAAGCAGAGAGUGGGUAGAAUGUUCAACCUGCUUCCUCAAGGAGUGCUUGAGGCAAAUGGCCAAGAUGCAAUGUUACAUGGGGCAUUGACGGACUGAAAGCUAUAUCGUGAAGGUUAAGUGAUGGAAACAAGCUCCAAGACCCUGGAAUAAUUGGACCUGAUUCUAUGCUGUAAUUUCCCAGUUGUUCUAUGUAAAUUGGAUCGAAUCAAUAAACAGACUGGAGUGAAUUUUCAUCUAUUCACAAGUUAUCACGUUGUUAGUUAAAUACCAUCAAACUCUGCUGUUAGUUGGAAGGAACAGAAUGUUUCUGUUUGUUAUCUCUACCACUGUGCUAACAUAGAUAGAUAACAUAGAAAGCUUUCCCUUCUCUGCUGGCCUUAAAAGGAAAAAAAAAUGAUUCCACUUCUGACAUUUCCUGAGAUGCAGUCACCGAUUAAAUAUUAGAUGACUUUAUCAUAACUCAAGUUAUAAAAUGUAAAUAAGGUUGAAAGAGCACAGAGAAAAUUUAAAAGGAUGUUGCUGGGACUGGCGGACCUGAGUUAUAAGGAAAGGUUGAGGACUUUAUUGCUUGGAAUGUAGAAGAUUGAGAGGAGAUUUGAUAGAGGUAUACAAAAUUGUGAGUGGUAUAGAUAGAGUAAAUGCAAGCAGGCUUUUUCUUCGACAACUAGAGGUCAUGGUUUAAGGGUGAAAGGUGAAAAAGUUAAAGGGAACAUGAGGGGGGAACCUCUUCACCCUGAGGGUCGUGAGAGUGUGGAAUGAGCUGCCAGCGCAAGUGGUGCACGCAAGCUCGAUUUCAAUGUUUAGGGGAAGUUUGGAUAGGGACAAUGGUAUGGAGGGCUAUGGGUUGAUGGGAGUAGGCAGUUUAAGUGGUUUGGCAUGGAAUAGAUGGGCUGAAGGGCCUGCUUUUGUGCUGUACUUUCCUAUAGCUGCACCUGAGACAGAGGAACUUUAUGAUUCAUAUGUGUGAAACAGUUUGGGGAAAAAAAUCAGCUUAUUUUCACAACAAAAAGUUGAAAAUACUUUAAAGGAAUUGACAUAAAAUAUUCAGACAUGGUGAGGGAAGUCCUCUGACUAGAGUCAAAAAUGCCAAUGGGAACUGACAACAUAUAUUGAAAUUCCGGUAAGUUUUAGACUUCUGUACAUAUGCUGUUUAGUGUGGAGCUCCAAGCACAAUGACAGAUGAGUGGUCUCAUUUCUAUCAUUGCCUUCUCUCGUACAGGAUCUGAAAUCACAUUGAUUUUUCCAUGGAUUCUAGGCUUGCGGAUUAGGAGGCAUGGGGAAAUUUCAAGCAUUCAGACAUGGAGAUGCCAGAAAGGGCCUGGAUUGAAAAUGAAACAAUUUCACUAAAUCAGCAAGUUAGAAACUACAAAGAAUUUGAAGAGCAAACACGAGGAAAUCUGCAGAUGCUGGAAAUUCAAACAACAACACAUACCAAAUGCUGGUGGAACACAGCAGGCCAGGCAGCAUCUAUAGGGAGAAGCGCUGUCAACGUUUCGGGCCGAGACCCUUCAUCAGGACUAACUGAAAGGAAAGAUCAGUGGAUCAGUGUUGACUCCUUUGCCUGGGAAAGUAGGCCAAGCCUGGCUGGUCCCCUGUCCAUGUCUCCGUGGGUGGAAGUCACUGCCUGGCUGUGACACUGAGGCAAACCUAUGACUAGGAAGGAUACGUUCCCCACGCGCUCAUCUGAGACGUCAAAUGGAUGUUGUCAAGGAAGGGGGGGGAGUUUCACAAGCUGCCUCAUUGCCUGCAGCUGGCAGUAAGAGCUGAGCACAUUGGAACAUUCCUCCUAAAGCAAACACCAGCAACUGAACACCAGUGCUUGCCAUGUAAAAUAUUUACAUUCAUGUUCAUUUGCACUUAUCAUUAGCAGAAUCAUGCCUGGCAGGGGGAUGAAAUACUUUUCUACUGCUGCAUUGGACAGACCUCUGACUGCAGACUCAAGAUGUCUCAAAAAUAUUGACCUCUCUUUGCCUUCUAGAACACAGGAACAUAAAAUCAGUAGAGCACAAUACAGGCCCUUCAGCCAUGAUGUUGUUCUGACCCUUUAGCCUACCCAAGAUCAAUCUAAUCCUUACUUCCCACAUAGUCUAUUUCUCAACAUUUGCCAUUCUUUCAAUCUUCUGGUACUACUCCUGUGGCCAAUGAGGAUGCAAAGCUCACUGUCAAUGGCACAGCAAUCUCUUCCUCACUCCCUGUAGCAUCCUGGGGUAUAUCCUGUCAAGCUCUGGGGACUUAUCUAUCCUAAUGUUUUUCAAAAGUUUAAACUUACCCUCUUUAUUAACUUUGACCAGUUCAAGCAUAUUAGCUUGUUCUAUGCUGAUUUCAUAUUUGUCAAUGUCCCUCUCUCUGGUGAAUUCGGAAGCAAGGUAUUUAUUAAGGACCUACCCUAUCCUGUUAGGUACCUCUCCUAUCUCCAGGCACGUGUUUCCUCUUUUAUCCCUGAGCAGAACUACUCACACUCUAGUCAUCUUCCUCUUCUUCAUGUAUAUAUAGAAUGUCUUGGGGUUUCAUAUCCCCUUCAAACUCUCUUAAGUCCCUUCUUGGCUACCUUAUAACUCCCAAGAGCCCUGUCUGGCCUUUGCUUUCUAAACCUUAAGUAUACUUCCUUCUUCCUCUUGACUAAAUGUUCCACUUCCUUUCCCUUCCUCAAUAGGACAAGCCUAUCCAGAACCCCAUGCACGUGCUCCCUAAACAACCUUUGCAUUUCCAUUUUCUGAGAAUACCUCUUCCCAAUUUAUAAUUCCAGUUUUCUGCCUCAUAGCAUCAUAAUUAGCCCUCCUAAAUACUUUCUCACACAGUCUGCUCCUAUCCUUUUCCAAGGGAAUGGUAAAGGACAGAGGGUUGUGGUCACUGUUUCCAAAAUGCUCACCCACCGAGAGAUCCGGUUCAUUGCCUAGUACAAGAUCCAGUAUGGCCUCUCCUCUAGUCAUCCUGUCCGCAUAUUGUGUAAGGACUCCUUCCUGGAUGUGUCGUGGUUUCUCGUGUCCCACAAAUGACCAGGAGACGCAGAAGAUUCUUCAAGAAGGGUUAAACUUUAAUUUGCAAAUCAAAGCUGAGACAGUCAUUGAACUAGCUGCUGAUUGCCCACCGAUCCUUGGACAUAGAAUGUUUUAUAGCAAUCUCCUGGUUUAGUUGCAUUAGCAUAUGCAAUUGGUCUAUAGUUGCGUAUCACAGGUACAUCUGCCACUAUUGUUUCUACCCAUUGACUUAAUCAUGUUCUAAUCUACAUCUCUUAGCUACCUCUCAUUAACACACCAUUGUCUUCUACAUUCUUAAGGUUUCAUUCUCCUACUAAAUUGGGUACAUGCAUAGCAAAUAGCAAACUCAGACUACAUAAUUUACAUCUCUUAGCUUCCUCUUAUUAACACAACAUUGUCUUCUACAUUCAAUUGGAUAUAUGCAUAGCAAAUAGCAAGUUUCAAAGCUGACUGUACAUAUUUUGGUUACACAGCAAAUAAUGCAACUUUUAUACUCCAAUAGAUGCACGAAACAAAUUCUACCCCAUCUAAACUUCUUGCAUGGAGGAGCUGCCAAUCAUAGUCACCCAUGACAACAAUUCUGUUAGUUUUGCACCUUUCUAAAAUCUGCUUACUUAUCUGUGCCUCAGAGUCCUAGUUGCAAUUGGGGUGGUGGUGGUGGGGCUAUAAAAUACUCCCAAUAGAGUGAUUGCUCCCUUUCUGUUUCUGAUAUCCACCCACACCGACUCAGAAGACAAUUCCUCCCUUUCUGUAGCUGUGAUACUGUCCCUGCUUAGCUAUCCCACUCUGCCACCUCUUUUAAACCCCAGAACUUCCAGCAGCCAUUCCUGGCCUUAUGACAGCCAAAUCUUCGAAAUGGCAACAAGGUUAAUGUACUGAUCCAUGAUCUAAGUUCAUCACCUUUGUUCUCGAUUCUUCUUGCUUUAAAAUAAAUACAUUUCAAUCCAUCCAACUGACUAAAUUUAUGCUCUAUCCACUGCCAAUCUUUCCUCGCACAUUGCAUCUACGUUUUCUCUAACUGUUCCAUCAUCUGACCAAUCAACCUGGUUCCCAUCCCCCUGCCAACCUAGUUUAAGCCCUCCCCAACAGCUCUAGCAAACCUACCUGCAAGGAUAUUGUUCUCGCUUGAGUUCAGGUGUACCCUUUCCCUGUUCAAGUUCAAGUUUAUUGUCAUUCAACAGUACACUUGUAUACCAACAUUCUUCAGGACCAAGGUGCACAACACAGUACAAGUAACUCACACACAUAACACAUAACGUUAUAUUACCACAAAUAAAUUUAUAGACAAUAGACAAUAGGUGCAGAAGUAGACCAUUCGGCCCCUCGAGUCUGCACCGCAGACUAUGACACAAGUUAAAAAGUAAACAGUAGAACACAAUUGGUGCUUCAUACAUAAUAAGACCUGGGUGGUCGCAGGGAGUUCAGUGGUCUUACGGCCUGGGAGAGAAAGUUGUACAGGUCAUACCUCCCCGGGAAGGGAUCCUAAUAAUCCACAAAUCUUAAACUCUGCCCCCCUGCAUCUAUUUUUCAGCUAUGCAUUCACUUGCCAUAAAACCCUCACUGGCAUCACUCCCCUUCUGGUCCUGCUUUUUCAUUCUCUACCUAGGUCUCUUUAUUCUCUCUUCAGGACCCCAUCUUUUUUCCUAGCUGUGUCAUUGGUAUCACUGAGUAUCAUGUCUUCCAAUUGCUCCCCCUCCCCCUUGAGAAUGCUGUGGACUCGAUCUGAACUGUUUCUGAUGCUGGAUCCUGGGAGGAAACAUAUCAUCUGUUUUUAUGUCCACAUAAUCUCCUUCCUGUUCCCUUAACUACUGAAUACGCUAUCACCACUGAUCUCUUCUCCCUUUUUCCCUUCUGAGCCAUAGAGCCAGAUAGCCUGAGGCCUAGUUGCUAUGGCUUUCCACAGGUAGGUUCUUUCCCCCCUUCUUCCAUUGCUCUCCAUCCUAAACCUUGUUUAAUGUCAAACUUUUCCUAUUUCUGAAAAAAGGUCAUUGAAAUGCCCACUUUAUUUGACCUUCCUCAGAUGCCGGAUUAUCUGCUAAUAAUCAAAAGAACUUUUAAUACUAUUUCAUAUUUUAAUAACCAAUGCUAAUUUGACUUUGAAUUUGUCAUUGGUAUUUGAACAUAGACAUUUGAGAAUCUUGCUCCAUUGUCAUUUGUAUUUAAAAAAGAAUUAGCUGAAUAUUUUAACUAUGAGGGAAUUGAGGAUGAUAGGGAACCGUCACAGGUGAUCACCCAUGAAUGACAAGACCAGGACUGAGGGGCUGAGUGGCCUACUCCUGAAGGGUCUUGGCCCGAAACGUUGACUGUAUCUUUUUCCAUAGAUGCUGCCUGGCUGAGUUCCUCCAACACUUUGUGUGUGUUGCUUGGAUUUCAAUCAUCUGCAGACCUUCUCUUGUUUAUGUAUAAUUUCUUCUCCUGUUUUCUUAUGUUGUUCGAUUAUGUUCUUAUAGUCAAAUGACAUUACAAGCCAUUUCACAGAUCAGUUAAAAACCAACCAUCUUACUACGUGUCUGAAGUCACACCAAGGUCUGACUGGGCAAACCUGGUACAUUUCCCUCCGUAAAUGAGCUAGAUAUUUUUUGGUCCCACUCCGAUGAAAAAUGUAGUAGAUUAUUUAAAAUAAUCUGAUUAUUCAUUAUGUUUUCCAGAGCUUUCUGCGUAUAUAAGCUUUCCAUUUUUGUACAAAAGAAAGCAUCUUAUUUCAAGAGAUCGAAGAAAAUUUAAACUAGGCCCCUUUCUCACAAAAAAUAUUGGUUACAAAAAAACAAUAAAGAAUGAUGUUGUCAAAUGAACUAAUGACUCUGCACAGAAAGCUUAGAAACAUAUGAUGUAAAGUGAAUAAAAAAAUCUC
This is a long non-coding RNA of Hypanus sabinus (Atlantic stingray), 6569 nucleotides long. RefSeq lists it as uncharacterized. The record is from RefSeq and is a predicted model, not a curated record. The transcript is spliced from 3 exons. Lineage: Eukaryota; Metazoa; Chordata; Chondrichthyes; Myliobatiformes; Dasyatidae.